Molecule: long non-coding RNA, 423 nt
Organism: Apodemus sylvaticus (European woodmouse)
Lineage: Eukaryota; Metazoa; Chordata; Mammalia; Rodentia; Muridae
Exons: 3
Source: RefSeq, a predicted model, not a curated record
CUGAUCAAAAAUCCCUUCAGCAUCUGAGGAAGACAUCAGGACCAUGCUGGUAAGGAACAGGAACUUACAGCAGAAAAAUAAGGAUGUGGAAACUAAGGUGUCAGAACUAACAAAUGAAAGAAUCCAGUGAGCAGAAAAGGAACAGAAAUUCCUCCUAAUCUGAGACAGUCUUUCUAUUAUGUCACUCUGACUGUUCUGGAACUCACUACAUGGACAAGACUGGCCUUGAACUCAGAGAGAUCCACCUGUUCUACUUCCCAAAUAUUGGGGGUCUCUCUACAUAGCUCUGGCUGGUCUGAAAUUUGCUAAUAGUUAACCUGGCCUCAAUCUCACAGAAAUCUGACUGCCUCUGCCUUUGACACUGAACUUCUGGGAUUAAAGUUAUCCACCCUCACAGAUUGUGAACGUUCUCUGAUUUUUUGA